UUGACAGAAGAGAGUGAGCACACAUGGUGCUUUCUUGCAUGAAAAAGGACUCCAUGCUUGAAGCUAUGUGUGCUCACUUCUCUACCUGUCAA
RNAcentral lists this microRNA precursor (92 nucleotides) under Ananas comosus (pineapple). RNAcentral describes it as "mir-156 microRNA precursor family". It matches the Rfam family "mir-156 microRNA precursor family". Rfam says of the family: This family represents the plant microRNA (miRNA) precursor mir-156. Lineage: Eukaryota; Viridiplantae; Streptophyta; Magnoliopsida; Poales; Bromeliaceae. The record is from Rfam by way of RNAcentral.